Molecule: ribosomal RNA, 632 nt
Filed under: uncultured eukaryote
Lineage: Eukaryota
Description: SSU rRNA
Rfam family: Eukaryotic small subunit ribosomal RNA
Source: RNAcentral
AGUUGUUGCAGUUAAAACGCUCGUAGUCUGAUGUAAUGGGGACUGGAGUGGGGAGCAGCGAUGCUCUUUGCUUUGGUCUCCAUCAGGGGGACAGCAAUGUCCCAGUUUACUUUGAGGAAAUUAGAGUGUUCAAAGCAGGCGAUUGCUUGAAUACUGCAGCAUGGAAUAAUGGAAUAGGACUCGCGUCUUAUUUUGUUGGUUUGGAGAUGUGAGUAAUGAUGAAUAGGGACAGUUGGGGGCAUUGGUAUUCAGUAGUCAGAGGUGAAAUUCUUGGAUUUACUGAAGACUAACUAGUGCGAAAGCAUUUGCCAAGGAUGUUUUCAUUGAUCAAGAACGAAAGUUAGGGGAUCGAAGACGAUUAGAUACCGUCGUAGUCUUAACCAUAAACGAUGCCGACUAGGGAUCGGCGGAUGACGUUUAGCGUUGCCGCCGGGACCUUGCGAGAAAUCAAAGUUUUUGGGUUCUGGGGGGAGUAUGGUCGCAAGGCUGAAACUUAAAGGAAUUGACGGAAGGGCACCACCAGGAGUGGAGCCUGCGGCUUAAUUUGACUCAACACGGGAAAACUCACCAGGUCCGGACAUGGUAAGGAUUGACAGAAUGAGAGCUCUUUCAAGAUUCUAUGGGUGGUGGUG